CAGACAGGACCUGGGCCCUUUUGAAUACAUUAAAAACACACCCUUUACUCCUCCCUUCCUUGAAGUAAUCACUGAUCUAACACAAAUGAAUAACUUUAAGAAAUUGCCUUCACCCAGCUAUGUCAGAUUAGGAAUUUUAUCUUCAAGGGAGAGAGGAAGGAAGAAUGCAUUCUUAAAGAAUUCGAACAGGACAUGUACUGGCAUAACAAAGAGCUUCCGGGGCAAGAGGUCACUGGACAUUUCUCUCAGCCCAUCCUGACCUUUCGAUAAACUUUGUGUCACAAAUUCCAAAUGCUGCUUCCAGUCCGUAUGAGGAGAGGUUAAGAGAGACUUGAUGAGAGAGAGUAAAUGGAGGGCCGCCAAUAAUCAUCUCAUUCUAUAGAACAUCUCUGCUAUGUUCCAUACAAUGGGUUCCAUGCUGUGAUUACAAAGAAAACAGCUGUUUUAUGACUGAGACAUCUGCUGAAGCUUUUCAUCUCACGUGGUUUGGGGUCAAUUCCAUUUGACUGUAAUCAAUUCAGGAAGUACCAUGAAAUUCCAAGUAUUAUCAGAAUAGGAAUUGGAAUUUAAGUGUACUUCCUGAUUUGACCCCAACCCUGUUGACUACAUAUAUCUUCUAACUCUAUCUGACCUGUCCAUUGCAGGUUUACCCGUAUGAAGAGCUGAUUGUGACCACCAGGGGGCGACACAGAGUGCCUAAAGAUGUGGACAGAGCCAGACUAGAGCGUCAUCUGAGUCCCGAGGAGUUCCUACAGGUGUUUGGGAUGACCGUGGCAGAGUUUGACCGGCUGGCUCUCUGGAAGAGGAAUGAAAUGAAGAAACAGGCCCGACUCUUCUAACCAUGGAGAGAGAGAGACAAUUAGAGGAAAUUGAGAAAGAGAAACUGUUCUAAUUAAAUAAAGAUUGUUAAUGACAAUAGAGAUAGAGACAGACUGUUAAUGACAACAGAGAUAGAGAGAAGGAGACAGACUGUUAAUGACAACAGAGAUAGAUAGAGAGAGACAGACUGUUAAUGACAACAGAGAUAGAUAGAGAGAGACAGACUGUUAAUGACAACAGAGAUAGAUAGAGAGAAACAGACUGUUAAUGACAACAGAAGAGAGAGAGAGAGAGACAGACUGUUAAUGACAACAGAGAUAGAUAGAUAGAGAGAGACAGACUGUUAAUGACAACAGAGAUAGAUAGAGAGAGACAGACUGUUAAUGACAACAGAGAUAGAUAGAGAGAGACAGACUGUUAAUGACAACAGAGAUAGAUAGAGAGAGACAGACUGUUAAUGACAACAGAGAUAGAUAGAGAGAGACAGACUGUUAAUGACAACAGAGAUAGAUAGAGAGAGACAGACUGUUAAUGACAACAGAAGAGAGAGAGAGAGAGAGAGAGAGAGAGAGAGAGAGAGAGAGAGAGAGAGAGAGAGACUGAAUGAAAUCAGAGAGAGAGAGAGAGAGAGAGGGGCGAGACUUAAUGAAAACAGAGAGAGAAAGCGAGAGAGCGAGAGAGAGACUGUUAAUGACAACAGAGAUAGAUAGAGAGAGACAGACUGUUAAUGACAACAGAGAUAGAUAGAGAGAGACAGACUGUUAAUGAAAACAGAGAUAGAGAGAGAGAGAGAGUUAGAGAGAGAGAGACUGUGAAUGAAAUCAGAGAGAGGGAGAGACUUAAUGAAAACAGAGAGAGAAAGCGAGAGAGCGAGAGAGAGACUGUUAAUGAAAACAGAGAUAGAGAGAGAGAAAGAGAGAGAGAGACUGUGAAUGAAAUCAGAGAGAGAGAGAGGG
Molecule: long non-coding RNA, 1775 nt
Organism: Oncorhynchus nerka (sockeye salmon)
Lineage: Eukaryota; Metazoa; Chordata; Actinopteri; Salmoniformes; Salmonidae
Exons: 2
Source: RefSeq, a predicted model, not a curated record